Molecule: transfer RNA, 74 nt
Filed under: Bdellovibrionales bacterium
Lineage: Bacteria; Pseudomonadati; Bdellovibrionota; Bdellovibrionia; Bdellovibrionales
Description: tRNA-Cys
Rfam family: tRNA
About the family: Transfer RNA (tRNA) molecules are approximately 80 nucleotides in length.
Source: RNAcentral
GGUGGAGUAGUCAAGUGGUUAGGCAGCGGUCUGCAAAACCGUUUACGCCGGUUCAAUUCCGGCCUCCACCUCCA